CAUUAUUGAAUAAACUUGGUUGGGUUGUUGCUGGCUUCUCGGAGCAUGUGCACGCCUAACGCCAUUUUUACCACCUGUGCACUUCUUGUAGAUUUGAAACACCUUUCGAGGCAACUCGGUUUGAGGACUGCUAUGCGAAAGCUAGCUUUCCUUGCGUUUCAGGUCUAUGUUUUUACAUACCCCAUAAGAAUGUUUUAGAAUGUCAUUAAUGGGCUUUAGUGCCUCUAAAUUAAUACAACUUUCAACAACGGAUCUCUUGGCUCUCGCAUCGAUGAAGAACGCAGCGAAAUGCGAUAAGUAAUGUGAAUUGCAGAAUUCAGUGAAUCAUCGAAUCUUUGAACGCACCUUGCGCUCCUUGGUAUUCCGAGGAGCAUGCCUGUUUGAGUGUCAUUAAAUUCUCAACCCUUUCAGCUUUUGCGAGUUGGAUUGGCUUGGAUGUGGAGGUUUGCGGGCUUCUUAGAAGUCGGCUCCUCUUAAAUGCAUUAGCGGAACCUUUGUGGACCAGCUUUGGUGUGAUAAUUAUCUACGCCAUGGCCGUGAAGCAGCUUUACAUGGGGUUCAGCUUCUAACCGUCCAUUGACUUGGACAAUUUCUGACAUUUUGACCU
This 607-nucleotide ribosomal RNA is filed under the name Clitocybe sp. MRD022-08. RNAcentral describes it as "eukaryotic LSU rRNA". The stretch from base 237 to 390 matches the Rfam family "5.8S ribosomal RNA". Lineage: Eukaryota; Fungi; Basidiomycota; Agaricomycetes; Agaricales; Clitocybaceae. The record is from RNAcentral.